GUUUCAAGAUCAGGCCUUCCUAUAAUUGUUCCUAGGAAUCCAGAUUUGUUGACUGGAAGUGUAGAGCGGUGUCCGGCACCAAGUUAUGAGAUCCUUAAGUUUCUGAUGAGAAGGUGGUCAUGGCCGUGAAAAGCAUGAGACGAGCUUUUUCGCAAAACGGACUUUCAAACAAUUUUUCGAGCAAUUUAUCACUCUUAAGAGGGCU
Molecule: unclassified non-coding RNA, 205 nt
Filed under: Hevea brasiliensis (rubber tree)
Lineage: Eukaryota; Viridiplantae; Streptophyta; Magnoliopsida; Malpighiales; Euphorbiaceae
Source: RNAcentral